CCCCUCACUGAGUCACGCAUGGAGAGUUUCCAGUACUCUACCAGUCUUGGUUACAGGAGGGAGAGUCAAGCAGAGGCAUACCCAUUCCAGUCCUAGCUUGGACAGUAGCUAGCGAGUGGCAGGCAAUCUGCUACAAGU
Molecule: small nucleolar RNA, 138 nt
Filed under: Ornithorhynchus anatinus (platypus)
Lineage: Eukaryota; Metazoa; Chordata; Mammalia; Monotremata; Ornithorhynchidae
Source: RNAcentral